AAGUCGUAACAAGGUCUCCGUAGGUGAACCUGCGGAGGGAUCAUUACACAAUAACAAGGCGGGCUGGACACCCCCCGCUGGGCACUGCUUCACGGCGUGCGCGGCGGGGCCGGCCCUGCUGAAUUAUUCACCCGUGUCUUUUGCGUACUUCUUGUUUCCUGGGUGGGCUCGCCCGCCCUCAGGACCAACCACAAACCUUUUGCAAUAGCAAUCAGCGUCAGUAACAACGUAAUUAAUUACAACUUUCAACAACGGAUCUCUUGGUUCUGGCAUCGAUGAAGAACGCAGCGAAAUGCGGUACGUAGUGUGAAUUGCAGAAUUCAGUGAAUCAUCGAAUCUUUGAACGCACAUUGCGCCCUUUGGUAUUCCAAAGGGCAUGCCUGUUCGAGCGUCAUUUGUACCCUCAAGCUUUGCUUGGUGUUGGGCGUCUUUUGUCUCCAGUUCGCUGGAGACUCGCCUUAAAGUCAUUGGCAGCCGGCCUACUGGUUUCGGAGCGCAGCACAAGUCGCGCUCUUUGCCAGCCAAGGUCAGCGUCCAGCAAGCCUUUUUUUCAACCUUUGACCUCGGAUCAGGUAGGGAUACCCGCUGAACUUAA
Molecule: ribosomal RNA, 595 nt
Filed under: uncultured Lewia
Lineage: Eukaryota; Fungi; Ascomycota; Dothideomycetes; Pleosporales; Pleosporaceae
Description: eukaryotic LSU rRNA
Rfam family: 5.8S ribosomal RNA (bases 241-394)
Source: RNAcentral